Marmota monax (woodchuck) is the source of this 1529-nucleotide long non-coding RNA. RefSeq lists it as uncharacterized. The record is from RefSeq and is a predicted model, not a curated record. The transcript has 3 exons. Lineage: Eukaryota; Metazoa; Chordata; Mammalia; Rodentia; Sciuridae.
GUGACAGAGCUGCGGCUUCCCUGCUCCCUGCUCCCUGCGUCUCUGGGGGAGCCGUUACUUCCCAGCAUCCACACAGCAGCUCUGGACUCCAGGUUCUUUUGUCCCCCUGGAUGGCUGAGGAAAGAGGCUGGGCGUGAGUGGACCGGCAGCCACUCAGGGCGUGGUCGGGAUUCCAGGAUUCCACGCGUUCAUCGGCUCCCCGGCUGCGGCCCCCUCUGCAUCCGAUGACGGCUCCGUCACCUCCCUCUGAAGGCUGCUCGCCAGCGUGGGAUGUUCUCACUCACUUUUCCUCCUACCUUCCUUCUUCUCCUUGGGCUUUUGGGGCCUGUUCCAUCUCCCCACUCUGCUCUGUCUUCCUCUCUUUAUGCCUCGCUUCCUGAGUCCUCCAGUUCCCCAGACGCCCCCACUUACAGCCUCUCAUCCAGGCCUCUGUCAGGGCCUAGUGCGCACCAGACCCUGAGCUGGGCCUGGAGGGUGGGAGGCGGCUCCUUCUGCCCAAGCUUCACUCUUAUGACCUCACUUCUUUCCUUUCCCGUCACUCACGCCACGUCUUGCUCUUGGCAUCCUCAAGGAUGGUCCAGAAGGUUAAUAAUCCAGGUAGGAAGGUUCUGCCCCUCCUUGGAAUGAUGUGGGAGGGUGUCUGACCAGGGUGGCUCAGGAGCUGCUGUCAUUCUUUCUACUGGCCUGUCACUCAGAGAUGGCCCCUCCCAGCCCCUUUCCCCAAAUUCACAUGGUAGCCAGCACUGCUCCCCAGACUAGGGCCCAGACCCUACCAGGACCCCUCCCCCACAGUUCUUCAUGUUUAGCAUCUGGUCCUAACACAUGACAUUAUCUUAGCCCAACUGCUGUCCAAGCGCCAAUCACCAAAAGCUGACAGCCUGGAGGGGCGCCCAGGGAAAGGCUGCCUGUCCGCUCACCUCCUCCAUCUGGCCCCUCUCAGACAGAAGCGGGGAAGAUGGUCAGUGAAGAAAUGGUCCCUGGCACCUUCGUCAGGAGAUCCCAGGAGGUUCACUCCUCUGCAUCUGAUCUUGCUGUUGUGGCUGGGCAUGGGACCAAAAGAGCCAGGCAGCCAUGUGAUUCCCCCAAAGGAAGCUGUGCUGAAGACUGAGAUUCUGAAUCUGAAGACCUGUUGAAGAUUUGGGCUCUGCUUCCUGAGUGUCAGCUUUAAGGUUCUGGCCUAUGACAUCAUUGGUUUUUCCUGACACCAAGAAAACCUAAAAUCCAGACUCAGGACCAAUGGAAUCUACCUUCAAACAUCUAUCCAGCACCUCUAAUGUUCCCAGAGCUGCCCAUACUGCAAGAAGCACAGGAGGGUCUUCCUUUCCUGGGCACCACUGAGAAGCGGGAAGCUGAGUGCAAAUUGGAAGAAGGUACCCCCUCGGGCCAGAAAAAUGGCAAAAUCAUGCCCCCAAUUACAAAAAGGCCUCUACUUGGAGCCAAGAAUUAAACAAAGGGAUCAUGCAUUUUCGGUCUUUGCCCUGCCUUUUGUUAGCCUCACAUUGCACAGAGAUAAAAAUCCUACUCCUCUC